UACGUAGGUGGCGAGCGUUGUCCGGAAUUACUGGGUGUAAAGGGCGUGUAGGCGGGGCGGCAAGUCAGAUGUGAAAUUCCGGGGCUUAACCCCGGCGCUGCAUCUGAAACUGUCGUUCUUGAGUGUCGGAGAGGAAAGUGGAAAUCCCAGUGUAGCGGUGAAAUGCGUAGAGAUUGGGAGGAACACCAGUGGCGAAGGCGGCUUUCUGGACUUUAACUGACGCUGAGGCUCGAAAGCGUAGGGAGCAAACAUG
RNAcentral lists this ribosomal RNA (253 nucleotides) under uncultured bacterium. Its description in RNAcentral is "partial 16S ribosomal RNA". It matches the Rfam family "Bacterial small subunit ribosomal RNA", at positions 524 to 776 of the family's 1533-position model. The record is from RNAcentral.